UUUUUAAAAAAGGAAUGAAUUUUAAAAGUCCAGAUUCUUGUUUAGGCAUAUAUGAUAUAUCAAGUACAUUGUUACAAAUACCUUUACUGUCAAAUUUUCAAAUAGAAAUUCCAAGUUCAGCAGCAAACAUGCAAUAUUUAACCUGAAGGUGACAUGUCAUAUGAAGAUGAAUUAUAUCUGUAAUUAGCAUCAACGAACUUCAACAGCUGUAAGACCGUGGUACAGAGAAA
Molecule: unclassified non-coding RNA, 230 nt
Filed under: Hevea brasiliensis (rubber tree)
Lineage: Eukaryota; Viridiplantae; Streptophyta; Magnoliopsida; Malpighiales; Euphorbiaceae
Source: RNAcentral